This 74-nucleotide microRNA precursor is filed under the name Ramazzottius varieornatus. RNAcentral describes it as "mir-87 microRNA precursor family". It matches the Rfam family "mir-87 microRNA precursor family". Lineage: Eukaryota; Metazoa; Tardigrada; Eutardigrada; Parachela; Ramazzottiidae. The record is from Rfam by way of RNAcentral.
AGCUAAUAGGCCUGAGAAUUUAGCUCAAACCGAAGCAAAGUGUACGGUGAGCAAAGUUUCAGGUUUAUUGGCUC